GUUUAAAUGUAAAUAUCUUAAUAUGUAAAUACAAUCCCUUUCCCCCUAUCCAUCGAUACUACUUACCCUUAAUAUAACAAAUGAAUUAAAUAAAAAAAUGAAUUUGUAAAUAUACCUAAAUAAUUUAAAUUUGAAUUUGAAACCCUUCCUAUACAACCUCUGGUAUCUCCAUUCCCUUUAUGCACAAAAAACACAUGGCGCGAGAUACCAACCAUACGGAAGCAAAACUCUCCCGGGAAAUGUUUCGUAUACUAUGCUUCGUCAUGAUUUCGAAAAGUGAAUUUUGCAUAUAAGGCGAUGCAAGAGGAGCCAAAGGAUCUUUCCGGAACAAAAUUCCUCUGAUUUCGUGUGUGACCAAUCAGCAUACAAUUCGGUUUCUUGCUGCCAGAGUGUUCAGCGAAGUGGUCGGAAUAUCGACGAGUGCCCGAGCGUUCAAGCCCAGCUGGAAGAAUCCCGUAACUAAAAGGUCGAAAAACGGUUUCUCACCCGUCAGCAAUAUCUACAAGUCCUACCGACUGCCGUCGAGAAGUAGUCAACCCGGUCUUAGCCAAUAGGUCGAACAUCCUCGGCUGACGAGUAAUCUACGUAGCUGGUGUGGUCAGGUGAAUUUUUGUGCAAUCCCUCAUAAUCAGUUUAAAAGAAA
This is a long non-coding RNA of Aedes aegypti (yellow fever mosquito), 643 nucleotides long. RefSeq lists it as uncharacterized. Lineage: Eukaryota; Metazoa; Arthropoda; Insecta; Diptera; Culicidae. The record is from RefSeq and is a predicted model, not a curated record. The transcript has 2 exons.